This 3543-nucleotide long non-coding RNA is filed under the name Sus scrofa (pig). RNAcentral's name for it is "lncRNA (ENSSSCG00000059164.1)". Lineage: Eukaryota; Metazoa; Chordata; Mammalia; Artiodactyla; Suidae. The record is from RNAcentral.
AGGAAGAAAGGAAGGAAGAAACGGGAAGGAAGACUAGGUCUCUGGGCCUCGUGGGCGUCUAAGUGGGAGGUGACAGAGUCUCCUCCUGCGAUCAGUUCUCGCCCUGAGAUUGCCUCCUCCGCCCCGGACGCCGCCGAGCUUUGGGGAAACCGCACCAGGUGUGAACAAGUUAGAGCAAGUUCCAGCCUAGCUGGCCCCCUCCUGCUCCUUGGGGAAACACACACACGCGCGCGCGCGCGCUUUCAUCCGCCCAGUUCUCCGCAGGGGGAAUCCAGGGGUGGCACUUCUCGGGAAUCGAACCCGAGAUACAUCCGGCUUUGUUCAAAAUGCACUCCCCCCCACCCCCCAGAAAUGUGCAGGAAGGAGCCCAGUGCACUAGGCAGCUGUUAGUAGUAGACGCGGAUCCGCGCACGGGAGUUGGAGCACAGCAACCUCACUGGCUAUGUCCGGAGCUGGCGCACCGCAGUCUCACGGGCCCUUUGUCCCAGGAUGCUUUCAGGUUUUCGGGCUGCCAGGACGCUCCCGCGGGGAAUUUCAGCGGUGCUGAGAAUCCCGGCUAGUUACCUAUAAGGGGCUGCUCCCCAGCGGCCCUCACCGCGAACGCAGUGAGCCUACGGGCCGCGUUGGCUCGGGGCUGCGCUCCCGGCUUGGCCUGGGGACUUGGACCUACGUUCCAGUCCUGGAGCAGAGGAGAUCCCCAGGUCUCCCCACUUCUGCGAGCAGCGAGGGUCCCCCGCUCCCUCCUCCCCUGCUGGGCGAGCUGCUUUGAAUUGCUCGCAAUUUGCCGAAGGCGGUGUGCUGGGUUGGACGCUCCGGGAAACAAAGCAACCAAAAACAGCUCCCAGUUGACGUCAACCUAUUUCCAGAAAAGAAAAUAGUUUUGUACUCCUAGAACAAAAUCCCCCCCAGGGCAGGUCUCUACUGGCAAAAGCCUGGGGGCGGGGAUGGAGAACAGCAGAACCAAAAAAACCCACACGCAAAUAACUUUUUAACGGACUUGGAAAAACAGCAGCUUCAGAUGCUGCCUGGGUAUUUUGCAAACAACGGGCAGGACCCCCGCUAAUAUUAGAUAUGAAGAAAACGCACCUUGGAAAAGUACCCCUUGGCCUGAUUAUCUGGCGAUUUUGAGUCUGCUUCGUGGCACCAGCUCCUGAAACGUUACCAAAAUUCUUUGCCCAUAAUACCUCAUCAAAUAUUGGGAAAAAACCUCUUCAGGUUGGUGCCUACAGUAUUUACCGGAAGAAAACCCAGAAAAAUCAAGCAGUUAUAAACCUGUUUCCUCUCAAGCCCCCACCCACCAAUACCCCCCCCAUGUUGCUUAUUUUUUAAAACCCAAUAACACGGAAUUACAGCUGAGUUCAUAAAGGAGUUCAAGCCCAGCUUUAAUAAAUGAUCCCUUAAAAACAUCCUGUGGUUCCACACACUCAAUUCAAAAUAGGGAGAAUCAAAAAAGCUCUUCUUAUUUUGAUGAAAGAGGCAAUAUUGGUUAUCUUCUGCCUAUCAGCCCAGCCCCCCAUUCCUCCACUCUCAUUUUUCCCUGUCAUGAAGUCCAUGUAGCUCACCACUUCAAACUGAGAGCUGCUCUUCACUCCAUAGUAAGGAAGGUUUCUUCUUGUGCAGAAUAGCUUCUACUCAUAUAAAGCACAUAGCUUCCUUAUCUAAACAUGAUUCCGGUACUGUAUGGAACAUUUUUAUUGCAAUUAGCUAACUGUCAGAACUCUUCAUUAUAAACUACCCUAAGAGGUUUACAACUUCACCAAGAUGCUCCACAUUUUUUUUUAUCUCUGUCAUUAUCAUUAUAAAGUGCUGUCUAUAUAUCUGUGCUUCUCCAUUUCUCAGAUUACUUGAAAGUAGUGACGGGGUUACCUUGAAAGGAAAAACUCCAAAUGUUUCCCUCUCAUUUUAUAACGCACCUUCUUACUUCCAUUCAGUUCACUAUGAAAGGUUAUGCCCUAAGGAACACAUUCAGCUCUUUCUCCUUUUUGAUUGCAGUCUUCUGACUUCAUCUAUUUUAUAACUGAUGUAGUUACUUUCUGUUUCCCCUCCUAAACCAAUAUACCUCUGUAGUAGGCUGGUGCCCUCCAGUUGUUUACUUUCUUUUUUUUGGGGGGGGCGGGCUUUUGUCUUUUUAGGGCCGCUCCUUCAGGCACAUGGAGGUUCCCAGGCUAGGGGUCUAAUCGGAGCUGUAGCUGCCGGCCUGUGCCACAGCCACAGCAACGCUGGAUCUGAGCUGUGCCUUCGACCUACAGCACAGCUCACGGCAACACCAGAUCCUUAACCCACUGAGCAAGGCCAGGGAUUGAACCCGAAACCUCAAGGUUCCUAGUCAGAUUCGUUUCUUCUGUGCCAGGACGGGAACUCCUCCAGUUGUGUACUUUGAAAUGAAUGAACAGGAUCUGUGUUUAGUUAACUCCUAUAUUUAGGAAGACAUAUUUUUGGGGGAAAUCUGAAGUGUCACGGAUCUGAAUUUCUAUAUUAAAAAUAAGGGCAAAAAAAGUAACUACAAGGCAUCAUUACUGUUUGUAGUAAUGUUUGCAAGUUAAAAUGAUUAUAAUGACUGCUUUGGUUUAAUACUUCUCUGCCAUUAAUUCCCUCUCUAGUGGAACACAUUAGAGGAAGUUAUUGCAGAAGUGAGGGACUGGGGAAUGGGGCGAUCUUUGUAUUCAGAGAGGUAAGUUGGGGAGGAUUUAAAUGGAUAUAUUCAAGAAAUGUUGUGGGCUCAGGGGCAGAGGCCAGAAAAAGAAUUUAGUUCAUCACCUAAAUCACUUUUUAGUUCAUCACUAUUUUUAGUUCAUCACUUUUAAGUCAUGCUUUCUUGAUUUGGUUACUAAAAGAUUCAUAAAGUACUUUGCAGAUUAAAUAUGAGUUCACAUUGAAGCUAUUUUGACAUAUCUUUGUAGAGUUUUACUACUAAAUUCUGUUGAAUUUAAUUGAAGAUCAUCUUGAAUAAUUUUUUUCUUAAACUCAGAUGAAGUAGAACCCAUGUAAUCCAAACUAUGAGGUGGAAGAAAAGAAAACUCCAUAAAAGCAGAAACUGAGUCUUACUUAUUACCGCAUCUCUGGCUCAUUUCCAAUAUAGUUCCUUCACAUAUUUUAGCAGAGUGUUUGGUACAGAGUAGACACUCAAUAAACAUACAAAUACUUAUGUGUGGGGAGAGAGAUAAUCGCCACAGAAGAUUACAGAGCAGAGCAGUUAAAAAUUGCAUCUUUGGGCUUGAAUCCUUACCAGUCGCCCUCAUUAUUUUGUUAUCUGGAUGAUAAUACGAGUCCCUGCCUCACAGAAUUGUGAGAAUUAAAUGGGUUUGUAUGAGUAAAGAAUGGAACACAGCAUCUGGAACAUCAGUAAACAUUCAACUAUUAAUUCUUAGGUAUUAAGACUCUAGUAUUUUCCAGGUUUGAUUAUAAGCAAGAAAAUGAAGGCCAGAAAGGCUCACAAGGUUUUAGCCACUUGCCCAACGUCUGCCAGGCCUCCAUAGGGCACAAAAGUUUUGCUCCAUAGCCCAAGCAUAAGCGGCUUGCCACACUGAGGUUCUAGGAGCAAAG